RNAcentral lists this ribosomal RNA (253 nucleotides) under uncultured bacterium. Its description in RNAcentral is "partial 16S ribosomal RNA". It matches the Rfam family "Bacterial small subunit ribosomal RNA", at positions 524 to 776 of the family's 1533-position model. The record is from RNAcentral.
UACGUAGGGGGCAAGCGUUGUCCGGAAUUAUUGGGCGUAAAGGGCGCGUAGGCGGUGCGGUAAGUCUGUAGUGAAAUCUCUGGGCUCAACUCAGAGUCUGCUGCAGAAACUGCCGUGCUUGAGUGUGGGAGAGGUGAGUGGAAUUCCUGGUGUAGCGGUGAAAUGCGCAGAUAUCAGGAGGAACACCGGUGGCGAAGGCGGGUCUCUGGGCAGUAACUGACGCUGAGGAGCGAAAGCGUGGGGAGCGAACAGG